RNAcentral lists this ribosomal RNA (460 nucleotides) under uncultured bacterium. RNAcentral describes it as "bacterial SSU rRNA". It matches the Rfam family "Bacterial small subunit ribosomal RNA", at positions 30 to 481 of the family's 1533-position model. The record is from RNAcentral.
AUUGAACGCUGGCGGCAGGCUUAACACAUGCAAGUCGAGUGGGGAAAGGUAGCUUGCUACCUGACCUAGCGGCGGACGGGUGAGUAAUGCUUAGGAAUCUGCCUAUUAGUGGGGGACAACAUCUCGAAAGGGAUGCUAAUACCGCAUACGUCCUACGGGAGAAAGCAGGGGACCUUCGGGCCUUGCGCUAAUAGAUGAGCCUAAGUCGGAUUAGCUAGUUGGUGGGGUAAAGGCCUACCAAGGCGACGAUCUGUAGCGGGUCUGAGAGGAUGAUCCGCCACACUGGGACUGAGACACGGCCCAGACUCCUACGGGAGGCAGCAGUGGGGAAUAUUGGACAAUGGGGGGAACCCUGAUCCAGCCAUGCCGCGUGUGUGAAGAAGGCCUUUUAGUUGUAAAGCACUUUAAGCGAGGAGGAGGCUACCGAGAUUAAUACUGCUUGGAUAGUGGACGUUACUCG